GAUGAACGCUGGCGGCGUGCCUAAUACAUGCAAGUCGAGCGAACGGACGAGAAGCUUGCUUCUCUGAUGUUAGCGGCGGACGGGUGAGUAACACGUGGAUAACCUACCUAUAAGACUGGGAUAACUUCGGGAAACCGGAGCUAAUACCGGAUAAUAUUUUGAACCGCAUGGUUCAAAAGUGAAAGACGGUCUUGCUGUCACUUAUAGAUGGAUCCGCGCUGCAUUAGCUAGUUGGUAAGGUAACGGCUUACCAAGGCAACGAUGCAUAGCCGACCUGAGAGGGUGAUCGGCCACAACGGAACUGAGACACGGGCCCGACUCCUACGGGAGGCAGCAGGUGGGAAUCUUUCGGCAUGGGCGAAAGCCUGACGGAGCAACGCCGCGUGAGUGAUGAAGGUCUUCGGAUCGUAAAACUCUGUUAUUAGGGAAGAACAUAUGUGUAAGUAACUGUGCACAUCUUGACGGUACCUAAUCAGAAAGCCACGGCUAACUACGUG
This 497-nucleotide ribosomal RNA is filed under the name uncultured bacterium. Its description in RNAcentral is "partial 16S ribosomal RNA". It matches the Rfam family "Bacterial small subunit ribosomal RNA", at positions 28 to 507 of the family's 1533-position model. The record is from RNAcentral.